AAAGAAAGAAAAAAAGGCAGGAGAAGAGGAGGAGAAUCACUUUCGGAUUAUCAUGGCAGUACCUGAAGUUUUGUCCCUUCUCUACUUUUUCUGGAGACUGCACAGAGAGUAAAUAGUUGUGAGCUUCAGCCAAAUCUCCUGCAUGAAAAUAAAAUGUGUCAGUUUAGUUGCAGAGCAACUAAAAACAAUAACUGACCAGGUCUACCUCCUUCAGAGAUCACUGGUCUCCAGUUGUAAGAGGUCUUCAGUAGCAGAAAGGACCUCCUGGCAACAAUAGUACAAUACUCUGAUUUCAGAACAGUGUAUGUUGUACUGAGAGCCAUACCUAAAAUAUCUGUGGAUUCUAGAACAGAACGUUCAGGCCUAUUGUCCUGGGAAAACUAAAAAUGAACAAAAUCAAUUUCAUAGAUGGUUCAGAUGUUAAUGCCUACCUUGUGUCUGAGGCAAAAAAUAAACACAGAUGUACAGAUAUUAUUUAACUCACAUGAAAGAGAAGUCAUUUUCCAACCAUGCUGCAACUGCAUUUAAUGGAAAACUCACAGGUAAUCUCCUCCUCAGUUCUCUCUCUCAAGCAAGAUGAGACAGAGGGAGCACUUCCAAAAUUUCCAUCACAUAAAUUAUCAUAGAAUCCUUAGAGUUGGAAGGGACCCUUAAAGGCCAUCUAGUCCACCUCCCCUGGAAUGAAGAGGGACACCUACAGCUACAUCAGGUUGCCCAGAGUCCUGACCAGCCUGACCUUGAGUGUCUCCAGGUAUGAGGCAUCCAUCUCCUCUCUGGGCAACCUCUGCCAGUGCUUCACGACCAAGAAGAGAAAGAUGAAGAAGAUGAAGAUGACAAAGAAGACAGAGAAGUAAAAGAAAAAAAAAAAAGAAAAAACACUUUGUUGUAGCCCAAGCUGUCUAUAAAAGAAAAAGCAGAACUGUACAUAAAAUAAAAUGUUACAAAAAAAGAGAACAAUCUGCUUUGCAUAAUUUGGCUAAGACUAGACGUAUUAAUAUAGUAAUAUAUAUUACUAUAGGCUAGAUAUAUUAAUACAGUAAUAUUUUCUGAUGGAAACUUUUCCAGAACUAUCAUAAAUCAGUGACAACAUUAAAGUGAGUAUGUCAAGAUAAUUAGGAAAAUGGAGAAUAUUAUUUCCUUAGUUCUAUUAUGCAUUUAUAUUUUAGGAUUGCAUAACUGUCUUUCUAAAUGUAAUCACCCAUGCUCUACAUCAAAUGUACAUACAUAUAAGACAUAAACUAUUAACAGAUCCCCAGUUUGUUCAUGGAGUGACUGGUAUGUUAAAAAAGGGUGAUUGGAUUUACUCUUUAGAAAACAACACUCUACUUAUGGAAAAGAAAAGCAAGCCUUGGUAAGUAUCAUGCACUUUAUCUUUCAUAAUUAGUUUUGCUGUCCAUGCAUGGGCAGUUGCAUUUGGCUGUCCCACAUGCCUGCUUCAAGCUGUAGUUCAGUCUCAGCCUUGAGUUUCAGGGAUUUUGACAUGUCGUUGUUUAUCUCCCUACUUUAUGCAACAAGGAAACAUAUUUACAGCCUUCUGACCCUUUGCAUUGUGUCUCUAAGUACAACAUAUAAAUUUAUGUGCAUACCAGGAAUCCCCUUGCAUCUAGUGAAAUCCACAUGUAAUUUUCUGUGCCCAUAUUCCACCAUAUUUUUACAUGAACACAUGGCUUUUAUAACAGAUCCUGCUCAUAAUUUGAGGCCUGCCUUUUUCUGCAAUCCAGCCAUGGAAUGGAUUUUUAUUAAUAGGGCCCUAAGACUUUACACUUGACUUUGGAAAAAGAGCGGGCACUGGUGCCAAGUUUUGAACUACAUGAUCAUAAUUCGGUCUGUUGUGUCACACACAUUCAAAAAGGUAGUUCUAAAAUUCAUGUCCUC
Molecule: long non-coding RNA, 1875 nt
Organism: Gallus gallus (chicken)
Lineage: Eukaryota; Metazoa; Chordata; Aves; Galliformes; Phasianidae
Source: Ensembl